This 910-nucleotide ribosomal RNA is filed under the name uncultured bacterium. RNAcentral's name for it is "bacterial SSU rRNA". It matches the Rfam family "Bacterial small subunit ribosomal RNA", at positions 21 to 906 of the family's 1533-position model. The record is from RNAcentral.
GGCUCAGAACGAACGCGGGCGGCGUACUUAACACAUGCAAGUCGGACGAGAAAGGGGACUUCGGUCUCUGAGUACAGUGGCGCACGGGUGCGUAACACGUAAGUAAUCUGCCCCGAACCCUGGGAUAACCCUCCGAAAGGAGGGCUAAGACUGGAUAGGGUCCCCGAGGUGUAGGCUGCGGGGGGAAAACGGGCCUCUGAUGCAUGCUCGUGGUCCGGGAUGAGCUUGCGGCCCAUUAGCUAGUUGGUAGGGUAAAGGCUUACCAAGGCGACGAUGGGUAGCUGGUCUGAGAGGAUGAUCAGCCACACUGGCACUGAGAUACGGGCCAGACUCCUACGGGAGGCAGCAGUGGGGAAUUUUGCGCAAUGGGCGAAAGCCUGACGCAGUAACGCCGCGUGGAGGAUGAAGGCCUUCGGGUUGUAAACUCCUGUCAGGGGGAACGACGGGGACCGGGGGACAACUGCGGUCCGCCAGACGGUACCUCCAAAGGGAGCCCCGGCUAAUUCCGUGCCAGCAGCCGCGGUAAUACGGAAGGGGCAAGCGUUGUUCGGAAUCAUUGGGCGUAAAGGGCGCGUAGGUGGUCGUGUAUGUCUCUCGUGAAAGCCCACGGCUCAACCGUGGUGCGUCGGGAGAAACUGCAGGACUUGAGGCUGGGAGGGGCUGGUGGAAUUCCCUGUGUAGCGGUGAAAUGCGUAGAGAUGGGGGAGAACACUCGUGGCGAAGGCGGCCAGCUAGACCAGUUCUGACACUGAGGCGCGACAGCGUGGGGAGCAAACAGGAUUAGAUACCCUGGUAGUCCACGCUGUAAACGAUGGGCACUAGGUGCCGGCGGUCUUGAUCCCGUCGGUGCCGGCGCUAACGCAGUAAGUGCCCCGCCUGGGGAGUACGGUCGCAAGGCUGAAACUCAAAG